This 619-nucleotide long non-coding RNA is filed under the name Trifolium pratense (red clover). Its description in RNAcentral is "long non-coding RNA (TPRA_LNC011178)". Lineage: Eukaryota; Viridiplantae; Streptophyta; Magnoliopsida; Fabales; Fabaceae. The record is from RNAcentral.
GCGAAAAUUAUAAGUUAGAAUAGGUACAAAUGCACUUCAUAAAAAUGUGUAUCAGAUGGGAAGUAAUAUAAUAAGUAAUAAAAUUAUAAGUUAGAAUAGGUACAACUAUUAAUUGUUGCUUUCAAUUUUGUCAAAAAUUAGUGGACCUUUACACAAAAAUGCAAGAUACAAAGCACGUGACAUGAACUUGGUUAAAAUGUGAUAAAAAUAAUUAAAAAUAACCUGGCUAAAAAUGAAGAACUAAAUGAGGACCAACAAAGAAAAAUAGAAGAGGGAAUAAGUAAGAAAAAAACCAGAUGAAUGAGAGUGAAAGCUCAAAUUGGAAAAGAUUAGCCUUCCAUUUUUCAUUUUGUAAUUUCCCUCGUGUCUUUGUUGGUUACAUAAAAGAUUUGAAGGAGGUUUUCAAAGAAGAUAUGUGAUCAACCAAAACUUAAAAAAAGAAAAUACCUUUGAUACUAUUCUUCAACAAUAUCACUAUCCAAUGAAUUAUAGAAUCAUGUGCCGCAAAACACAGUGUGUAAGAAUGAUGUUAAUGUAGAAUGGUUUUUUCAGUAAACAAAAUGAUGCAAGCAGUUCAUGGUUUAAAUAUAAUUAAAUAAAAGAGAAAAUCCAUCAAGGC